This 253-nucleotide ribosomal RNA is filed under the name uncultured bacterium. RNAcentral describes it as "partial 16S ribosomal RNA". It matches the Rfam family "Bacterial small subunit ribosomal RNA", at positions 524 to 776 of the family's 1533-position model. The record is from RNAcentral.
UACAGAGGGUGCAAACGUUGCUCGGAAUUACUGGGCGUAAAGCGCGUGGAGGCGGUCUGUUAAGUUGGUAGUGAAAGCCCAUGGCUCAACCAUGGAAGCGCUGCCAAAACUGGCAGGCUGGAGCGCCGGAGAGGGUGGCGGAAUUCCCAGUGUAGAGGUGAAAUUCGUAGUUAUUGGGAGGAACACCGGUGGCGAAGGCGGCCACCUGGACGGUAACUGACGCUAAGACGCGAAAGCGUGGGGAGCAAACGGG